RNAcentral lists this long non-coding RNA (5021 nucleotides) under Sus scrofa (pig). Its description in RNAcentral is "lncRNA (ENSSSCG00065049792.1)". The record is from RNAcentral. Lineage: Eukaryota; Metazoa; Chordata; Mammalia; Artiodactyla; Suidae.
ACGCAGUAUCAUUUUUCAUUUUAGAGGUGCAUGCUCACAGAGAGGUUAAAUGACUUGUCCAAGGUUCAGACCUAAAUCAGGGUCCUCAGGUCCUCUUAGUUUCAGAUCCCAGGCCUCUGUGCUGAGGGAUUUUUCUGAAAAAACAGCCUGACCUCUAGAGACUAGUAUUUUUCAAAGCUCUUUUGGAAAUUAAUGAGUGCUCUUUUAAUGCUUUUGAAUGCCAAGGAGAAUAUGCUGUCCACACAUAAUUGCACACAGCAUUUCUUCUGCAUGCAGAGGCUAAAAGCCUUCUGCCAUGUUUGAACCAAUGUAAACAUCACAGAUGCUUCCAUGGGCAGCCUCCUCUGACUUAUGAAUGUCUUCUUUUGGAGGAUUUUCCCACAACCUAAAAAAAAAAAAAAAAAAUCACUUCUAACUUCUGCUCCAGAACUGUGAAGUGACAUUGAAAAAAGAAAUAAUUUGUUAAGAUUUUUUUUUAGUUUAUCAUCAAAUAACCUUCUAGAUCUCCCCAAAUAGCAUGCAUUUAUGCCUCCUCUCUACCGCACAUUGUUCUAAAUGCUUUGUUUUAUGUCCCUUAAUCCUCACAAAUAUAUACUGUAGGAAUUAUAAUUACCCAAUUUUGAAAAUGAGGGACAGAGAGUUUGUGGACUUAAAUCUUGACAAAUAGUAGAACUACGAUGCAAAUAGCCCUGUAGUAUAACCACCUCUUCCUUCACGGCUGCCCCCAGACACAUUCAGUCAGGCUCCUGCCAAUUCUAGCUCUCAAGUUAAAUUUCUACUGAAUACUCACGUUUUAAUUUCACCAAAGAAUCGAGGAGCAUCAUUUUCUACUGCCGCAGAGGCAUUCUAAGGAAGAAUGUACAUUUCAGAGUGCCUACUAUGGCUGCAUAGGAAUUGGACAUAAAUGAGCAGAACAAAGGCUUGAUAACUUGGAUGGUCCUUCACUGAUCAAAACCAGAUGUCAAAUGCUUGGAAAAAAAAGGCAUUAAUCACACAUAAUUGAGGAAUACUGUCUCUAUAGGACAAGAUAAAUGUUUCCCCACUUUAGUAAUUAGCCUUUAUUGAACAUGAGAGCCUGUCAAAUAGAGACAAUAAUAACCUCGUCUUUCCAACACGUUCUAAGGACCCAUUUGUUUUUUACAUAUUUUUGAAUACUUGAAGUUAUAGAAAUAAACACAUCUAUUAUUUUUCUUUGUGUCAUAAUUCUAAGAAGACCUCUGUCCUUCCACCAUACAAGAAAUACAAACAAAUCAUGGCAGCCAGCAUUUCUUUAUAUUUAAAGAUUAGGUUCACAAACACUUGGGUAUGUGAAAGUCUCAAAGCUCAAGGGAAAAAGGAUGGCUGUUGAAGUCAUUCCUUACUGUGGGAUUUUCCUUUAGUCAUUCAUUUUCUCCCUCUACUCUGAGUUAUCUCUAAGAGAAGAAAACUGAUAAAAAAUAGUUUUUGGAAGUUCCCAUCGUGGCGCAGCAGAAACGAAUCCGACUAGGAACCAUGAGGUUGAGGGUUCGAUCCUUAGCCUCACUCAGUGGGUUAAGGAUCCAGUGUUGUCGUGAGCUGUGGUGCAGGUGUUGCUGUGCCUGUGGCAUAGGCCAGCAGCUACAGUUCCAGUUGGACCCCUAGCCUGGGAACCUCCAUAUGCCGCAAGUGUGGCCCUGAAAAAACCAAAAACCAAGAAAAAAAAGUUUUUAGCGACGUAUAUUUAAAUUGACAUUUCCAGUUAAUUGCAUUGCAGAAGAAAAACAGGAAAUCGGUAGUCGUAAAGGCCAAAAUAUUUUCUGACUUUCAUACCUUUCAAGAAAAAGAAAAGAAAGUCUUCGCUACAUGGAAGCUAGAGUCAGAAGCACAAGAUAAAAUCCUGUUAAUAGUAUGACCAUACUGUUUAUAUAUGGAAGGUGUUUAUAAAAUCUUCCUGGAUGAAUGAUAAAAUUAGAACAAUCAAAGGAGAAAUGUUGGAAUUUCAGAGAAAAGCAUGACAGGGGAUUUAGGAGAAAAAAGCCUAACAAAACUGAUUUAUUACAUGCAAUAUAGACACACUUGUCAAACUCAAGAAAGUUAAAUGUAUAAUUGACUCGGUCUCUUCACUGAGUUAAAUAUAAAGUUAAUUGCAAAGAUGCCAACAAAGCUUUCCAUCGAAAACUAGAAGUGAAGGCCAGGUGCUUUCUUGCCUUUGUUAUUUACAGACAGGAAUGGGAUCAUAAGGAUAAUGCCAACUCAGUGGUUUAACUUGGGUGUUUUGUAAGAGUUUCUAAAUACCCUCUUUUUCCGAGUCAUAGCUGAUACACAAAAAAAGAGGUUGUUAAAUUACACCUCUAUCAAUGCAUAUUUUGAAUGGAAUGGGGGUAAUACUCUAUGUUACCCCCAUGUCAAUCCUAAAUUAUUUGAUAAAUAAAAACCAGGGUUUUGAUGAAUUGUCUUGUGGAGCAGUGGGUUAAGGAUCUGAGGGACCCAGUCUUGUCACUGCGGUAGCCAGUAGCCCGAGUCGCCGCUCUAGUGCAGGUUCGAUCCGUGGCCCAGAAACUUCCCCGUGCUUCAGGCAUGGCCAGAUUAAUUAAUCAAUUAAUUAAACUAAAUUAAAGAAAAACAAGCCUUUUGAAAGGAAAGCUUCUAGUCAGAGGGAGCUUCAAAAAGAGCUGAGUUCUCUUUAUUUUGUCAAGCGUGUGAUUGGAACUCAAUAUGUACUCUUGUAAAGAAUUUCUUAAAUCUCCCUUUAUUCAAUAAUAUUGUCAACAUAAUUUAUCACAUGAACUUUCACUACUGAACGUUUCACAAGAUGUUUCUGUAGAACAUUAGGUUCAGAAAUUCUGGCAUUAGGAAACAAGCUGUUAAAAUUUUGGUCAAGGGCAUCCAGUGGCAUUACAUUUCCUUCUCGGUUUUACUUGAUCCUUGUAAAAUUCUCCUUGCCCAACCUAAGCUUAUAAGAACUUGCUGAGUUCUCUUUUUCGAAGAACAUCAUGCCCAAAGCAAUUUUGUUUGUUUGUUUGUUUGUUUGUUUGUUUGUUUUGGUAAGGAGUGAAGUUCAGUAAAAAUGGUAAGAUAGGAGUUGAAUCUGCAUCUCCUUUUCUGAUAGCUUUGCUUUUGCUUAGGGACAGAGCAUUAUGUUAAAUACUGUUUAGAACUGGAGUCCUUAGCCUUUGUAGAUUCUAGAAAUGCAUUUCUUACGUCCUGGCUUAAGGAAAUGGAGAAUUUGAGUGCUUCUUCCACUCAGAUGAGCUCCACAACUAUUUUCUAAGAAUCUGACUUUAGGAGUUCCCAUCGUGGCUCAGCGGAAAAUGAAUCUGACUGGCAACCAUGAGGCCACAUGUUUGAUCCCUGGCCUCGCUCACUGGGUUAAGGAGCCAGCGUUGCUGUGAGUUGUGGUGUAGGUCACAGGUGCGACUGGGAUCUGGCAUUGCUGUUGCUGUGGCUGUGGUGUAGGCCGGCGGCUACAGCUCCGAUUUAACCCCUAGCAUGGGAACCUCCAUAUGCCUCAGUGCAGCCCUAAAAAGACAAAAAAAAUUUUUUUAAUUAAAAAAAAGAAUCUGACGUUGCAUGACUAGUCACAGAACUCAUACAAAGACUUCGAUGAAUCAUUUCAGAUUAAAAGAUCAAUGUUUGAAGUCUGACUUAGUUAAUACAUCUAAAAAGAAAUGUACCACCUGUCUAUUAGUCAAAACGUCCAUUGUGAAAUACUAAUACCAAGUGAGGUUCUGCUAUUAUUUUUGCAUUUCGCCACAUAUGAAACAUGUUUUCCUUUUGUUUAUGAUUGUGAAGGGUAGCAAGGCAUGCCACCCCAAGAUCUGCCACUUUGGUAUAUUAAUAUUUUGCAUUGGAGCACUUUAAAAACAGCAAUUGCAGGAGAGGCUUUCUCUGAACACCCCUUAUCUGCCUAAAGAUAGAUUCUCCAGAAACUCAGUUGUCAUAAAUCCCCUCCCUGGGAGAUUCAUCAACCAGGGAAGAUGGACCCAUCACAGGAGAGGAGACCAGAAGUUGGCACCACAUUCAGACAGGCUUCAUCUCAAACUAUCAUCCCUCCCAUCAGUUCUUCUAAGGGCCCAUUCAUUCAUCAGUCCUAAAAGCCAGUUACUUGGCCAUAAGACACCUACAUCCCCCCUACCCUUUCCUAUUAUAAUGGUAUUUAAUCCUAAAUUUUAAACCACCUGGGAGAGUUCCUCAUCUUUUCCUGAUGAGGUUCCCAGGUAUGCAUAAGGUAUACAUGUUAAUAAAUAUCUAGAUUGUUUUUCUCUUAAUUCGUAAGGCUUGUUUGUCCUUCUCAGUGUUUAUUACAAAGGCCGCAGCGAAAAACUCACAAGUGUAGAAGGGGAUUUAGUUUUCCUCCACUGCAAUUGUCAGUGUAAUAAAAACUGCCUUCUUUCUGUAACUGAGGUUAAAAUAAAGAAGCCGCUUUGUUGAUUAUUAUGGAUGUCUUUUAAAUUAAGUACAUACUAUUUAGCCUGGUAUACAAGUGUUCAGUAAAUUCUCUUUUCACGGUAAUGAUUCUGUAGCUGAAGUAUAUUGCCAGGGAAUACAUACUAAUUGACUGCAAGUAGCACUUCUUUCUGUCACCACUUCUUUUGGAAAAACAUGGAAAUGUUGGCCCCGGAGCCUCUCAGAUCUGUAGGCUCUUCAGAAGAAGCCAAUCACCUUUUCCACCCAGCUCUGCAUUAUUCAAAUGUCCCAAGAGAACAGUCUUUGGCACCAUUUCUAAGACUCCAUUCUAAUAAGACAUCAACUUAACAUUCAUCUUAUUAUAAGUGAUACCCGAUGAGUCACUCACUUAAGACUCGGGCCUUGGAGUUCCCAUUGUGGCUCAGCGGGUUACGAACCCAGCUAGUAUCCAUGAGGACGCGGGUUGAUCCCUGGCCUUGCCCAGUGGGUUAAGGAUCCAGCGUUGCCAGGAGCAGUGGUGUAGUUUGCAAACGAAGUUCGGAUCCAGUGUUGCUAUGGCUGUGGCCUAGGCCGGCAGCUGUAGCUCUGAUUUGACCCCUAGGCUGGGAACUUCCAUAUGCCCCAGAUGCAGCCCUAAAAAACAAAAAAAAAAAAAA